This is a long non-coding RNA of Triticum dicoccoides, 1006 nucleotides long. RefSeq lists it as uncharacterized. NCBI's taxonomy places the organism in Eukaryota, Viridiplantae, Streptophyta, Magnoliopsida, Poales, Poaceae. The record is from RefSeq and is a predicted model, not a curated record. The transcript has 4 exons.
CCCAAACCCUAACUCAUAUCCCCUCCAUUCCCCCGCCUCCCCUUGUCUCCCUCUCCCCGAUCCAGAUUGACAACGCCAGCUUCCUCUCUCCCUCGCCUGCAGGUCCCUCCACUGCCGUCCCUCCUACCCCAGCAUCGGCCAUCCUCCCUUCCGCCACCUUCUCAUGUCCCAGUCACUCGCCUUUGUCCUCCUGCUGCCGAUCGUGCGCGCCGCCCAACCUCACCAGUGACAUAUGCACUGCCGCCAGCAGGCACGGCGUCGCGGUCAACCGGCUCGUCGGCGUGCACAUGCUUCAACGCACGCUGCUCCAUCGAGCUGGCCGGACCGCGGCGACGCGUGACCUCGGGUUUGUGGUUGCUUUUCCCCAUGCCGGCCAUGACUCUUCGGCAACCAGGACGGCAACGGCAUCGACGGGAUCCUCGAACGGCUGUCGUCCACCUCGCGCUGCAGGGAGGGGUCUGUUGUCUCCUCGCACGAGGGGGCGGCCGUGUUCGUCGUUCCCCACCCUGGCAGUUGAUCCUGGCUGCCGUUGCUUCACUAGCCUCUUCCGCCGGCGUCUCCGUGAGGGCGCUCGACCCUAGAGGGGUCGUGCCUGAGGAGACCGAGCUCGUCGUGCUGCUCUUUUUCAAUGUCAACAAGGGAAUGGCCGACGAGGAUAACAGGGUCCCUGCACCAACAGGUAACUGGCGCAGCCGCUGUAACAUGAGACGCUGGACUGGAUGAAGGAUCAUGAAGAGAACAACUACACAAUGUUGUGGAUGAACAGGAUGAUGGGAGGGUGAAUCAGAUCUAGGAGCACAUCGACUACGAAGUUUGCCGACACGCAAGUAUCGUAUGUGUGUCUACUCGUCCAACCUGGUAAUCCACCAUUUGGUCUCCUUUGAUUGAUAUCCUCCAAAAUAAGAGGAGAUUCUUUUUUUGCUUAAUCUCCUUGUGUAUGUGCUUCUUGCACCUAUUGAUGCUACAAGUUAAGUAAUCAGAUAAGCCCUUCAUGUGUUGUAUGCAA